UGCAAGUCGAACGAAGCUACUUGGUUAGCUUGCUAACCGGGUAGACUUAGUGGCGGACGGGUGAGUAACACGUGGGUAACCUACCUGGGAGACCGGGAUAACAGCUCGAAAGGGCUGCUAAUACCGGAUGAAGUAUGAGUAAUUAGAUUUACUUGUACCAAAGGCGUUAAGUAGUGCUCCUGGAUGGGCCCGCGGCUCAUUAGCUAGUUGGUAGGGUAAAGGCUUACCAAGGCGAUGAUGGGUAGCCGGUCUGAGAGGAUGGUCGGCCACACUGGGACUGAGACACGGCCCAGACUCCUACGGGAGGCAGCAGUGGGGAAUAUUGCGCAAUGGGGGCAACCCUGACGCNGCGACGCCGCGUGAGUGAAGAAGGCCUU
RNAcentral lists this ribosomal RNA (377 nucleotides) under uncultured low G+C Gram-positive bacterium. RNAcentral's name for it is "bacterial SSU rRNA". It matches the Rfam family "Bacterial small subunit ribosomal RNA", at positions 56 to 418 of the family's 1533-position model. Lineage: Bacteria; Bacillati; Bacillota. The record is from RNAcentral.